Bubalus bubalis (water buffalo) is the source of this 73-nucleotide non-coding RNA. The record is from the annotation of a RefSeq genome assembly. NCBI's taxonomy places the organism in Eukaryota, Metazoa, Chordata, Mammalia, Artiodactyla, Bovidae.
UCUCUGAUGGUUCAGUGGUUAAGACAUUGCACUUCCAAUGCAGAGGGUCAGGGUUCAAUCCCUGGUCAGGGAA